This 341-nucleotide ribosomal RNA is filed under the name uncultured bacterium. RNAcentral's name for it is "bacterial SSU rRNA". It matches the Rfam family "Bacterial small subunit ribosomal RNA", at positions 32 to 350 of the family's 1533-position model. The record is from RNAcentral.
AAUCAACGCUGGCGGCGUGCCUCAGACAUGCAAGUCGAACGCGAAAGUUUCCUUCGGGAAGCAAGUAGAGUGGCGUCCGGGUGAGUAACACGUAGGUAAUCUACCUUUGGGUGGGGAAUAACAACCGGAAACGGUUGCUAAUACCGCAUAAUGCAGCGGCACUCACAUGAUGACAGUUGUUAACGCGGGGGAUCGCAAGACCUCGCGCCUAAAGAGGAGCCUGCGGCGGAUAGCUAGUUGGUAGGGUAACGGCCUACCAAGGACAACGAUCCGUAGCCGGCCUGAGAGGGCGGGUCGGCCACACUGACACUGAAAUACGGGUCAGACUCCUACGGGAGGCA